Long non-coding RNA from Alnus glutinosa, 217 nucleotides. RefSeq lists it as uncharacterized. The record is from RefSeq and is a predicted model, not a curated record. The transcript is spliced from 3 exons. Lineage: Eukaryota; Viridiplantae; Streptophyta; Magnoliopsida; Fagales; Betulaceae.
UCAGAUUAUCACUCAGUUCAAGGAGCAGGGAUUACAUACUGAAUUGUACUAUAAAAGUAAGGAAAUGGGGGAAACUUUCAGCAUUGUGCCCACAAGUGCUAUUAGUGGCGAAGGCAUCCCAGAUUUGUUAUUAUUAUUGUUCAAUGGACUCAGAAAACUAUGGUUGAGAAACUUACAUACAGCAGUGAAAUGCAGUGUACUGUGUUGGAGGUCAAGG